Molecule: ribosomal RNA, 404 nt
Filed under: uncultured Blautia sp.
Lineage: Bacteria; Bacillati; Bacillota; Clostridia; Lachnospirales; Lachnospiraceae
Description: bacterial SSU rRNA
Rfam family: Bacterial small subunit ribosomal RNA
Source: RNAcentral
GGGGAAGUAUUGCACAAUGGGGGAAAGACCCUGUGCAGCGACGCCGCGUGAAGGAAGAAGUAUCUCGGUAUGUAAACUUCUAUCAGCAGGGAAGAAAAUGACGGUACCUGACUAAGAAGCCCCGGCUAACUACGUGCCAGCAGCCGCGGUAAUACGUAGGGGGCAAGCGUUAUCCGGAUUUACUGGGUGUGAAGGGAGCGUAGACGGAGCAGCAAGUCUGAUGUGAAAGGCAGGGGCUCAACCCCUGGACUGCAUUGGAAACUGUUGAUCUUGAGUACCGGAGGGGUAAGCGGAAUUCCUAGUGUAGCGGUGAAAUGCGUAGAUAUUAGGAGGAACACCAGUGGCGAAGGCGGCUUUACUGGACGGUAACUGACGUUGAGGCUCGAAAGCGUGGGGAGCAAACA